RNAcentral lists this long non-coding RNA (474 nucleotides) under Capra hircus (goat). Its description in RNAcentral is "lncRNA (ENSCHIG00000001498.1)". The record is from RNAcentral. Lineage: Eukaryota; Metazoa; Chordata; Mammalia; Artiodactyla; Bovidae.
CUAUUCUGUUUCUGCGAGUUCCUCUUUUUCUCAUUUGUCCCAUUUUUACUUUAAAUUUUGUUUCUUGAUUUCUGUUUAUAUUUUGAGUAUAGUUUAAUGGGUUUUUCUAUCAUCUCACUCAAAUCCAGGAGCUGAAUAUCAAAACCUUCAAAUUUCCAACUCAAUUCUUUGCUGGCAAAUUUUAUACAUUGAGGAUAAGGUGGUCAGUCAAGGGUCAUACAACCCUCUCGGCUACUUCUUUUGUAAAUCUCACAGAAAUCAUGUGAUGGUCAAGGUAUAUGUGGCCUUUUCUGUGUGUGUCCUUCACUGACCUCAUGGUCCAAGUCUUAUCCGACUGAACUCAUCUGUGUGUCAUUGACAACCAGGCCUGUAACAUCCCACCAGGAGCCACCAGAAGCUGGCAGAGGAUCACAGAUGCAAUGGCUGAAGCUUAAGCAUCUAUCCUGUUACAAUGAGGAUGAAGCCAGAUCUUGA